RNAcentral lists this ribosomal RNA (465 nucleotides) under uncultured bacterium. RNAcentral describes it as "partial 16S ribosomal RNA". It matches the Rfam family "Bacterial small subunit ribosomal RNA", at positions 28 to 507 of the family's 1533-position model. The record is from RNAcentral.
GACGAACGCUGGCGGCGUGCUUAACACAUGCAAGUCGAACGGAAAGGCCCCUUUGGGGGUACUCGAGUGGCGAACGGGUGAGUAACACGUGAGUAACCUGCCCUUGACUUCGGGAUAACUUCAGGAAACUGGGGCUAAUACCGGAUAGGAAUCCUUGCUGCAUGGUGGGGGUUGGAAAGCUUCGGCGGUUUUGGAUGGACUCGCGGCUUAUCAGCUUGUUGGUGGGGUAGUGGCUUACCAAGGCUUUGACGGGUAGCCGGCCUGAGAGGGCGACCGGCCACAUUGGGGCUGAGAUACGGCCCAGACUGCUACGGGAGGCAGCAGUGGGGAAUAUUGCACAAUGGGCGGAAGCCUGAUGCAGCAACGCCGCGUGCGGGAUGACGGCCUUCGGGUUGUAAACCGCUUUCAGCAGGGGCGAAGCUUGUGGUGACGGUACCUGCAGAAGAAGCACCGGCUAACUACGUG